AGAGUUUGAUCAUGGCUCAGGACGAACGCUGGCGGCGUGCUUAACACAUGCAAGUCGAGCGGGAACCUGAGGAGGGGUAACCCUCUUCAGGGGAGAGCGGCGAACGGGUGAGUAUCACGUGGGCAACCUGCCCCGGACACCGGGAUAACCCAGGGAAACCUGGAGCUAAUACCGGAUACUCCGGCGCGAUCGCAUGGUCGCGCCGGGAAAGCUCCGACGGUCCGGGAUGGGCCCGCGGCCUAUCAGCUUGUUGGUGGGGUAACGGCCUACCAAGGCGACGACGGGUAGCUGGUCUGAGAGGACGGCCAGCCACACUGGGACUGAGACACGGCCCAGACUCCUACGGGAGGCAGCAGUGGGGGAUCUUGCGCUAAUGCGCGAAAGCGUGACGCAGCGACGCCGCGUGGGGGAUGAAGGCCCUCGGGUUGUAAACCCCUUUCGGCAGGGACGAAGCGAAAGUGACGGUACCUGCAGAAGAAGUCCCGGCUAACUACGUGCCAGCAGCCGCGGUAACACGUAGGGGACGAGCGUUGUCCGGAUUCAUUGGGCGUAAAGCGCGCGUAGGCGGCUCGGAAAGUCGGUCGUGAAAGGCCGGGGCUCAACCCCGGGACUGCGUCCGAUACUUCCGAGCUGGAGGCAGGUAGGGGAGAUCGGAAUUCCUGGUGUAGCGGUGAAAUGCGCAGAUAUCAGGAGGAACACCGGUGGCGAAGGCGGAUCUCUGGGCCUUGCCUGACGCUGAGGCGCGAAAGCUAGGGGAGCGAACAGGAUUAGAUACCCUGGUAGUCCUAGCC
RNAcentral lists this ribosomal RNA (791 nucleotides) under uncultured bacterium. Its description in RNAcentral is "bacterial SSU rRNA". It matches the Rfam family "Bacterial small subunit ribosomal RNA", at positions 8 to 801 of the family's 1533-position model. The record is from RNAcentral.